Molecule: ribosomal RNA, 704 nt
Filed under: Streptomyces sp. P3881
Lineage: Bacteria; Bacillati; Actinomycetota; Actinomycetes; Kitasatosporales; Streptomycetaceae
Description: bacterial SSU rRNA
Rfam family: Bacterial small subunit ribosomal RNA
Source: RNAcentral
UCAGGACGAACGCUGGCGGCGUGCUUAACACAUGCAAGUCGAACGAUGAACCACUUCGGUGGGGAUUAGUGGCGAACGGGUGAGUAACACGUGGGCAAUCUGCCCUGCACUCUGGGACAAGCCCUGGAAACGGGGUCUAAUACCGGAUACUGACCCUCGCAGGCAUCUGCGAGGUUCGAAAGCUCCGGCGGUGCAGGAUGAGCCCGCGGCCUAUCAGCUUGUUGGUGAGGUAAUGGCUCACCAAGGCGACGACGGGUAGCCGGCCUGAGAGGGCGACCGGCCACACUGGGACUGAGACACGGCCCAGACUCCUACGGGAGGCAGCAGUGGGGAAUAUUGCACAAUGGGCGAAAGCCUGAUGCAGCGACGCCGCGUGAGGGAUGACGGCCUUCGGGUUGUAAACCUCUUUCAGCAGGGAAGAAGCGAAAGUGACGGUACCUGCAGAAGAAGCGCCGGCUAACUACGUGCCAGCAGCCGCGGUAAUACGUAGGGCGCAAGCGUUGUCCGGAAUUAUUGGGCGUAAAGAGCUCGUAGGCGGCUUGUCGCGUCGGUUGUGAAAGCCCGGGGCUUAACCCCGGGUCUGCAGUCGAUACGGGCAGGCUAGAGUUCGGUAGGGGAGAUCGGAAUUCCUGGUGUAGCGGUGAAAUGCGCAGAUAUCAGGAGGAACACCGGUGGCGAAGGCGGAUCUCUGGGCCGAUACUGAC